This 478-nucleotide ribosomal RNA is filed under the name uncultured bacterium. RNAcentral's name for it is "partial 16S ribosomal RNA". It matches the Rfam family "Bacterial small subunit ribosomal RNA", at positions 28 to 523 of the family's 1533-position model. The record is from RNAcentral.
GACGAACGCUGGCGGCGUGCUUAACACAUGCAAGUCGAACGGUAAGGCCCUUCGGGGUACACGAGUGGCGAACGGGUGAGUAACACGUGGGUGAUCUGCCCUGCACUUCGGGAGAAGCCUGGGAAACUGGGUCUAAUACCGGAUAGGACCACUGCCUGCAUGGGUGGUGGUGGAAAGCUUUUGCGGUGUGGGAUGGGCCCGCGGCCUAUCAGCUUGUUGGUGGGGUGAUGGCUUACCAAGGCGACGACGGGUAGCCGGCCUGAGAGGGUGACCGGCCACACUGGGACUGAGAUACGGCCCAGACUCCUACGGGAGGCAGCAGUGGGGAAUAUUGCACAAUGGGCGCAAGCCUGAUGCAGCGACGCCGCGUGAGGGAUGACGGCCUUCGGGUUGUAAACCUCUUUCAGCACCGACGAAGCGCAAGUGACGGUAGGUGCAGAAGAAGGACCGGCCAACUACGUGCCAGCCGCCGCGGUAA